Medicago truncatula (barrel medic) is the source of this 535-nucleotide long non-coding RNA. RefSeq lists it as uncharacterized. The transcript has 3 exons. NCBI's taxonomy places the organism in Eukaryota, Viridiplantae, Streptophyta, Magnoliopsida, Fabales, Fabaceae. The record is from RefSeq and is a predicted model, not a curated record.
UAGAUUUUUCAUACUAACUUAGUUGCUGAUGAGUUAACAUUUCAGUGGUUGGUGUUGCGAUAUGAAAAGUUAUUCAUUGUGGCUUAUUUUUUUACAAGGGAAAUUUGAUUCCAUGUAGCUUGGAGUGAUAAUACAAUUGAGGAGAAGACCAAGACUACCACUGAUAAGCAGGGGUAUCAAGCUGGAUAUUCACCAUCAUUUGUAUAAGUCAAGGACAAGCUUAGUACAAUGAACAUAGAUGAACGUUAGAACAAAAAAGCAGUAGCAUAAACGACUCCCUGUUAGAGGCAAACAAUUGGGGUAUGCAUCUAAGGGUAUUAAAAACGGCAUUCAUUUUGGUGUUGUAACUAUUUUUUAGAUUGUAUAGGUCUUGACUUACCAAUGUUACUUCAACAAGUUUGAUGGAAAUCUUGUUUGUACAUUUACUAUGGGCUAUACAUUAUAUAGAAUGUGAUAUGUGAAGCUUAAUUAAGAUGGUGUAAUUAAAUAAUUUAUUUUAUGAUGUUAAGAUAAAUUUUAUUGGACCAUUAUCUAA